This 1319-nucleotide long non-coding RNA is filed under the name Homo sapiens (human). RNAcentral describes it as "HSALNT0221742". The record is from RNAcentral. Lineage: Eukaryota; Metazoa; Chordata; Mammalia; Primates; Hominidae.
GUGGAGAAUUUUGAAAGACUCUUUUCAAAGUUAAAGGAAAUGAAAGACAAGGCUGCGACGCUUCCUCAUGAGCAAAGAAAAGUGCAUGCAGAAAAGGUGGCCAAAGCAUUCUGGAUGGCAAUCGGGGGAGACAGAGAUGAAAUUGAAGGCCUUUCAUCUGAUGAAGAGCACUGAAUUAUUCAUACUAGGGUUUGACCAACAAAGAUGCUAGCUGUCUCUGAGAUACCUCUCUACUCAGCCCAGUCAUAUUUUGCCAAAAUUGCCCUUAUCAUGUUGGCUGCCUGACUUGUUUAUAGGGUCCCCUUAAUUUUAGUUUUUAGUAGGAGGUUAAGGAGAAAUCUUUUUUUUCCUCAGUAUAUUGUAAGAGAGUGAGGAAUACAGUGAUAGUAAUGAGUGAGGAUUUCUUAAAUAUACUUUUUUUUUGUUCUAGGAAUGAGGGUAGGAUAAAUCUCAGAGGUCUGUGUGAUUUACUCAAGUUGAAGACAACCUCCAGGCCAUUCCUGGUCAACCUUUUAAGUAGCAUUUCCAGCAUUCACACUUGAUACUGCACAUCAGGAGUUGUGUCACCUUUCCUGGGUGAUUUGGGUUUUCUCCAUUCAAGGAGCUUGUAGCUCUGAGCUAUGAUGCUUUUAUUGGGAGGAAAGGAGGCAGCUGCAGAAUUGAUGUGAGCUAUGUGGGGCCGAAGUCUCAGCCCGCAGCUAAGUCUCUACCUAAGAAAAUGCCUCUGGGCAUUCUUUUGAAGUAUAGUGUCUGAGCUCAUGCUAGAAAGAAUCAAAAAGCCAGUGUGGAUUUUUAGACUGUAAUAAAUGAGGCAAAGGAUUUCUAUUCCAGUGGGAAGAAAACCUCUCUACUGAGUUGUGGGGGAUAUGUUGUAUGUUAGAGAGAACCUUAAGGAGUCCUUGUAUGGGCCAUGGAGACAGUAUGUGAUAACAUACCGUGAUUUUCAUGAAGAAAUUCUUCUGUCUUAGAGUUCUCCCCUGCUGCUUGAGAUGCCAGAGCUGUGUUGUUGCACACCUGCAAAACAAGGCACAUUUCCCCCUUUCUCUUUAAAGCCAAAGAGAGAUCACUGCCAAAGUGGGAGCACUAAGGGGUGGGUGGGGAAGUGAAAUGUUAGGCGAUGAAUUCCUGAGCACCUUGUUUUUCUUCCAAGGUUCGUAGCUCCUCUCUGCCCUUCCAAGCCUGUAACCUCGGAGGACUAUCUUUUGUUCUUUAUCCUUUGUCUUGUUUGAGUGGGUCAGCCCCAGAGGAACUGAUAAGCAAAUGGCAAGUUUUUAAAGGAAGAGUGGAAAGUACUGCAAAUAAAAAUCCUUAUUUGUUUU